AACGAACGCUGGCGGCAGGCUUAACACAUGCAAGUCGAACGCCCCGCAAGGGGAGUGGCAGACGGGUGAGUAACGCGUGGGAACAUACCCUUUUCUACGGAAUAGCUCUGGGAAACUGGAAUUAAUACCGUAUACGCCCUCCGGGGGAAAGAUUUAUCGGGGAAGGAUUGGCCCGCGUUGGAUUAGCUAGUUGGUGGGGUAAAGGCCUACCAAGGCGACGAUCCAUAGCUGGUCUGAGAGGAUGAUCAGCCACAUUGGGACUGAGACACGGCCCAAACUCCUACGGGAGGCAGCAGUGGGGAAUAUUGGACAAUGGGCGCAAGCCUGAUCCAGCCAUGCCGCGUGAGUGAUGAAGGCCUUAGGGUUGUAAAGCUCUUUCACCGAUGAAGAUAAUGACGGUAGUCGGAGAAGAAGCCCCGGCUAACUUCGUG
This 431-nucleotide ribosomal RNA is filed under the name uncultured bacterium. Its description in RNAcentral is "partial 16S ribosomal RNA". It matches the Rfam family "Bacterial small subunit ribosomal RNA", at positions 29 to 507 of the family's 1533-position model. The record is from RNAcentral.